UCGCUUUGGCCUUGGUGCUGGAUCAAACACUUUGAACCUUGAUUGACGGGGGGGGUACUGGUGAUACACCAUGUUUCUUGUGCUCUCUUUAGGGGGGAGUACUGGUGAGACAUGCCUGAUUACACCAGUCACUACCCAUCAACGCCUCUCAACAAGGACUAGGGCUCCGUCGCUAUGGCAGGACCCCCGGAGAGCUCCCACGGUGCGGAAC
RNAcentral lists this long non-coding RNA (211 nucleotides) under Zostera marina. RNAcentral describes it as "long non-coding RNA (ZMAR_LNC002048)". The record is from RNAcentral. Lineage: Eukaryota; Viridiplantae; Streptophyta; Magnoliopsida; Alismatales; Zosteraceae.